UUAGACCGUCGUGAGACAGGUUAGUUUUACCCUACUGAUGAGUGUUGUUGCAACAGUAAUCCAAGGUAGUACGAGAGGAACUCUUGGUUCAGAUAAUUGGUAUUGCCCCUGGCUGAAAAGCCAAAGGUGCGAAGCUACCAUCUGUAGGAUUACGGCUGAACGCCUCUAAGCCGGAAUCCGCGCUGGAAGCAACGAUGUUUACCUCUCCGAAUUUUGACCGAGUACGCAAAGGGCGGGUUUAUCCCGUCUGAAUACCACACCGGCUUAGCACUGUGCGCCUCGAAGUGGCGUGCAGGAGAGUUGGAUACAUUUUCUGGAUUGGGGGAGAUGAAUCUCUUAUAGACGAUUUGAUUAUGGAACGGGGACUUGUAA
Molecule: ribosomal RNA, 372 nt
Filed under: Dolichomastix tenuilepis
Lineage: Eukaryota; Viridiplantae; Chlorophyta; Mamiellophyceae; Dolichomastigales; Dolichomastigaceae
Description: partial Eukaryotic large subunit ribosomal RNA
Rfam family: Eukaryotic large subunit ribosomal RNA
Source: RNAcentral